RNAcentral lists this ribosomal RNA (301 nucleotides) under uncultured bacterium. RNAcentral describes it as "partial 16S ribosomal RNA". It matches the Rfam family "Bacterial small subunit ribosomal RNA", at positions 509 to 809 of the family's 1533-position model. The record is from RNAcentral.
CAGUCGCCGCGGGAACACGUAGGUGGCAAGCGUUGUCCGGAAUUAUUGGGCGUAAAGCGCGCGCAGGCGGAUCAGUCAGUCUGUCUUAAAAGUUCGGGGCUUAACCCCGUGAUGGGAUGGAAACUGCCAAUCUAGAGUAUCGGAGAGGAAAGUGGAAUUCCUAGUGUAGCGGUGAAAUGCGUAGAUAUUAGGAAGAACACCAGUGGCGAAGGCGACUUUCUGGACGAAAACUGACGCUGAGGCGCGAAAGCCAGGGGAGCGAACGGGAUUAGAUACCCCAGUAGUCCCUGUCUUUAUACAC